Molecule: ribosomal RNA, 496 nt
Filed under: uncultured bacterium
Lineage: Bacteria
Description: partial 16S ribosomal RNA
Rfam family: Bacterial small subunit ribosomal RNA
Source: RNAcentral
GAUGAACGCUGGCGGCGUGCCUAAUACAUGCAAGUCGAGCGAACAGACGAGGAGCUUGCUCCUCUGACGUUAGCGGCGGACGGGUGAGUAACACGUGGAUAACCUACCUAUAAGACUGGGAUAACUUCGGGAAACCGGAGCUAAUACCGGAUAAUAUAUUGAACCGCAUGGUUCAAUAGUGAAAGACGGUUUUGCUGCCACUUAUAGAUGGAUCCGCGCCGCAUUAGCUAGUUGGUAAGGUAACGGCUUACCAAGGCAACGAUGCGUAGCCGACCUGAGAGGGUGAUCGGCCACACUGGAACUGAGACACGGUCCAGACUCCUACGGGAGGCAGCAGUAGGGAAUCUUCCGCAAUGGGCGAAAGCUUGACGGAGCAACGCCGCGUGAGUGAUGAAGGUCUUCGGAUCGUAAAACUCUGUUAUUAGGGAAGAACAAAUGUGUAAGUAACUAUGCACGUCUUGACGGUACCUAAUCAGAGAGCCGCGGCUAACUACGU